GGCUCCAUAAGCUCAGAGGUUAGAGCACUGGUCUUGUAACCAGGGGUCGCGAGUUCAAUUCUCGCUGGGGCCU
This 73-nucleotide transfer RNA is filed under the name Astyanax mexicanus (Mexican tetra). It matches the Rfam family "tRNA". Rfam says of the family: Transfer RNA (tRNA) molecules are approximately 80 nucleotides in length. Their secondary structure includes four short double-helical elements and three loops (D, anti-codon, and T loops). Lineage: Eukaryota; Metazoa; Chordata; Actinopteri; Characiformes; Acestrorhamphidae. The record is from Rfam by way of RNAcentral.